GAUGAACGCUAGCGGCAGGCUUAACACAUGCAAGUCGAGGGGUAUGCUUCUUCGGGAGCAGAGACCGGCGCACGGGUGCGUAACGCGUAUGCAAUCUGCCUUUUACAGGGGGAUAGCCCAGAGAAAUUUGGAUUAAUACCCCAUGGUAUUAUAGGGUGGCAUCACCUUAUAAUUAAAGUCACAACGGUAAAAGAUGAGCAUGCGUCCCAUUAGCUUGUUGGUAGGGUAACGGCCUACCAAGGCUACGAUGGGUAGGGGUCCUGAGAGGGAGAUCCCCCACACUGGUACUGAGACACGGACCAGACUCCUACGGGAGGCAGCAGUGAGGAAUAUUGGUCAAUGGACGCAAGCCUGAACCAGCCAUGCCGCGUGCAGGAUGACGGUCCUAUGGAUUGUAAACUGCUUUUGUACGGGAAGAAACACUCCUACGUGUAGGAGCUUGACGGUACCGUAAGAAUAAGGAUCGGCUAACUCCGUGCCAGCAGCCGCGGUAAUACGGAGGAUCCAAGCGUUAUCCGGAAUCAUUGGGUUUAAAGGGUCCGUAGGCGGUCUUGUAAGUCAGUGGUGAAAGCCCAUCGCUCAACGAUGGAACGGCCAUUGAUACUGCAGGACUUGAAUUAUUGGGAAGUAACUAGAAUAUGUAGUGUAGCGGUGAAAUGCUUAGAGAUUACAUGGAAUACCAAUUGCGAAGGCAGGUUACUACCAAUGGAUUGACGCUGAUGGACGAAAGCGUGGGUAGCGAACAGGAUUAGAUACCCUGGUAGUCCACGCCGUAAACGAUGGAUACUAGCUGUUGGGGGCAACUUCAGUGGCUAAGCGAAAGUGAUAAGUAUCCCACCUGGGGAGUACGAACGCAAGUUUGAAACUCAAAGGAAUUGACGG
Molecule: ribosomal RNA, 882 nt
Filed under: uncultured bacterium
Lineage: Bacteria
Description: bacterial SSU rRNA
Rfam family: Bacterial small subunit ribosomal RNA
Source: RNAcentral